CCUACGGGUGGCAGCAGUGGGGAAUAUUGGGCAAUGGACGCAAGUCUGACCCAGCAACGCCGCGUGAAGGAAGAAGGCUUUCGGGUUGUAAACUUCUUUUAAGGGGGAAGAGCAGAAGACGGUACCCCUUGAAUAAGCCACGGCUAACUACGUGCCAGCAGCCGCGGUAAUACGUAGGUGGCAAGCGUUGUCCGGAUUUACUGGGUGUAAAGGGCGUGCAGCCGGAGAGACAAGUCAGAUGUGAAAUCCACGGGCUCAACACGUGAACUGCAUUUGAAACCGUUUCCCUUGAGUGUCGGAGAGGUAAUCGGAAUUCCUAGUGUAGCGGUGGAAUGUGUAGAUAUCGGGAAGAACACCAAUGGCGAAGGCAGGUCUCUGGGCCGUUACUGACGCUGAGGAGCGAAAGCGUGGGGAGCGAACAGGAUUAGAUACCCUGGUAGUC
RNAcentral lists this ribosomal RNA (442 nucleotides) under uncultured bacterium. RNAcentral's name for it is "partial 16S ribosomal RNA". It matches the Rfam family "Bacterial small subunit ribosomal RNA", at positions 338 to 795 of the family's 1533-position model. The record is from RNAcentral.